GCUGCGCGCGUUUCUGGCCCUGCCAGUGUCUCCGCCGGUUGAAAGCGCGUGUCUGCGUCGGGUUCUGUUGGAGUGCGUUCGGUGCGCCGUGGGUCCGCGCUGCUUCCACCCAACUUCCUGUUAGUUUCUCUCCUGUCACAAUGGCAUGAUCUCGGCUCACUGCGACCUCUGCUUCCUGGGUUCAAGGAUUCUCCUGCCUCAGCCUCCCAAGUAGCUGGGAUUACAGGUUACAUUAGUUAUACACUCUGGAGGUGACUUGACCUGUCAUUGUGAACAAUUAUUGCUCUUGGACGACCCAGGACAUAGGCCAGCCAGUACGUACCCCAGUGUGUUGGAGAAUCGCGCUCGGCUUCUUCCUCUGUGCUGAGUCAUGAAAGUUGCCGGAGCAGGUGCAGUUACACAACCUCCAGACAUCUAGGCUUGCUGUCAAGGCUUCUGAUCAACAUGAGAUGACCGCCGUGUGGUAAACUGAUGAACCCUGACCCUGAUCAACAUGAGAUGACCGCCGUGUGGUAAACUGAUGAACCCCGACCCUGAUGAAC
RNAcentral lists this long non-coding RNA (542 nucleotides) under Homo sapiens (human). RNAcentral's name for it is "HSALNT0289655". The record is from RNAcentral. Lineage: Eukaryota; Metazoa; Chordata; Mammalia; Primates; Hominidae.